AGUGAACGCUGGCGGUAGGCCUAACACAUGCAAGUCGAACGGCAGCACAGUAAGAGCUUGCUCUUACGGGUGGCGAGUGGCGGACGGGUGAGGAAUACAUCGGAAUCUACUUUUUCGGGGGGGAUAACGUAGGGAAACUUACGCUAAUACCGCAUACGACCUACGGGUGAAAGCAGGGGAUCUUCGGACCUUGCGCGAUUGAAUGAGCCGAUGUCGGAUUAGCUAGUUGGCGGGGUAAAGGCCCACCAAGGCGACGAUCCGUAGCUGGUCUGAGAGGAUGAUCAGCCACACUGGAACUGAGACACGGUCCAGACUCCUACGGGAGGCAGCAGUGGGGAAUAUUGCGCAAUGGGCGCAAGCCUGAUCCAGCCAUACCGCGUGGGUGAAGAAGGCCUUCGGGUUGUAAAGCCCUUUUGUUGGGAAAGAAAAGCAGCAGGUUAAUACCCCGCUGUUCUGACGGUACCCAAAGAAUAAGCACCGGCUAACUUCGUG
Molecule: ribosomal RNA, 492 nt
Filed under: uncultured bacterium
Lineage: Bacteria
Description: partial 16S ribosomal RNA
Rfam family: Bacterial small subunit ribosomal RNA
Source: RNAcentral